CUUCCUCCCUCUCCAUAGGAAGGCCAAGAUAAGCCCAGCUCCUGUUGCCGCGUGGGCAGGGCCUUGUCCGGUGUCCCUGAUAGGCCCAGUGUCCUGAAAAUGUCAGCACUGGUAAGAGGACAGUGAGACUUCACUGAGUUGCCCCUGUGGAAAGGAGGGGUCAGUUGCGCAAACACAAGCAUCAAUGCAGAAGGAAGAAGAGGAGCAAAGACAGAACAUUUCUAACUUGGAGAGAUUACCAGAAAGGAGCUCAUGUGACAUGGGACCUGCUUGCUCUUUGGAAAAGCAGGUAUUGAUGUGUCUCGUUUUUUAAUUUUCAGUACUUCUCUUCUUGCCCUAUGUGAUUCCAGGGCCCCAA
Rhinolophus ferrumequinum (greater horseshoe bat) is the source of this 358-nucleotide long non-coding RNA. RefSeq lists it as uncharacterized. NCBI's taxonomy places the organism in Eukaryota, Metazoa, Chordata, Mammalia, Chiroptera, Rhinolophidae. The record is from RefSeq and is a predicted model, not a curated record. The transcript is spliced from 3 exons.